RNAcentral lists this ribosomal RNA (467 nucleotides) under uncultured bacterium. Its description in RNAcentral is "partial 16S ribosomal RNA". It matches the Rfam family "Bacterial small subunit ribosomal RNA", at positions 28 to 507 of the family's 1533-position model. The record is from RNAcentral.
GACGAACGCUGGCGGCGUGCUUAACACAUGCAAGUCGAACGGAAAGGCCUCUUUCGGGGGGUACUCGAGUGGCGAACGGGUGAGUAACACGUGAGUAACCUGCCCUUGACUUUGGGAUAACUUCAGGAAACUGGGGCUAAUACCGGAUAGGAGCUCCUGCUGCAUGGUGGGGGUUGGAAAGUUUCGGCGGUUGGGGAUGGACUCGCGGCUUAUCAGCUUGUUGGUGGGGUAGUGGCUUACCAAGGCUUUGACGGGUAGCCGGCCUGAGAGGGUGACCGGCCACAUUGGGACUGAGAUACGGCCCAGACUCCUACGGGAGGCAGCAGGGGGGAAUAUUGCACAAGGGGUGGAAGCCUGAUGCAGCAACGCCGUGGGCGGGAGGACGGCCUUCGGGUUGGAAACCGCUUUCGCUCAUGACGAAGCUUUGUGUGACGGUAGUGGGUAAAGAAGCACCGGCUAACUACGUG